Leptidea sinapis is the source of this 673-nucleotide long non-coding RNA. RefSeq lists it as uncharacterized. NCBI's taxonomy places the organism in Eukaryota, Metazoa, Arthropoda, Insecta, Lepidoptera, Pieridae. The record is from RefSeq and is a predicted model, not a curated record. The transcript has 2 exons.
AUCAAACGUAAUAACACAUUCACAACACACAAACUCGGAUCAUGGGUAUUUGCUGUUCUUGCUGUUGCGGUGAGUCAGGUGGCACCGACAUGCCGUCUUUCGGCGGCGCCGGAGUGGAUAACAGCACGUUCCCGCCUCCCGGACAGGACUUCGACAACGGCGGUCGCCCACAGUUCGUGAGCUAGCGACGAGAGGGAUGACGCGCGACACGACACCGACACGAUUACUGUUAUACAUCGGCGACACGAUGCCUCAGCUGUCUUUGUUCCUUUGGUCUCAAAGGUAUAAAGAUCUACUGGGAACUUUCCAUACUAUACAACAAAUUCUCCAUAUUUUAAUAUAAUGCAUGAAUAGUAGAUACGACCACGUAACACAGCCAGCUAAACUGCUUAUUCUACAACAUGCUUUGUGCAAACCGCAAGUUUCGGAUAAUAUUUUCAAGUUUUACUUUCAGCUGCAGGGCGAGCAACCAACCUAUUCGUGUAUGACAAUUUUCUCUAUGAGUAAUACAAAUAUCUUUGUAUUUGAAUUUCAAAUAGCAAUGAUUGUUAAGUGAUACCUAAGAAUUUAUCGUGUCGGUAAUGUGUCAUCCCUCUGUAAUAUUAUUUGUAACAAACUGAACAGUUGUAAUAUAGUUGUAUUUAUAUGCUCAGAAUAUAUUUUAAAUUUUGUA